UCGAGGAUCUUCGGCAAUGGGCGCAAGCCUGACCGAGCGACGCCGCGUGAGCGAUGAAGGCCUUCGGGUUGUAAAGCUCUGUCGGGGGGGAGAAAACCGCAAGGUUGAUCUAUCUCCGGAGGAAGCACGGGCUAAGUUCGUGCCAGCAGCCGCGGUAAGACGAACCGUGCGAACGUUGUUCGGAAUCACUGGGCUUAAAGGGCGCGUAGGCGGGCAGUCAAGUCCGGGGUGAAAUCUUUCGGCUCAACCGGAAAAGUGCCUUGGAUACUGACUGUCUCGAGGGAGGUAGGGGUAUGUGGAACUUCCGGUGGAGCGGUGAAAUGCGUUGAUAUCGGAAGGAACGCCGGUGGCGAAAGCGACGUACUGGACCUCUUCUGACGCUGAGGCGCGAAAGCCAGGGGAGCGAACGGGAUUAGAUACCCCCGUAGUCC
RNAcentral lists this ribosomal RNA (431 nucleotides) under uncultured bacterium. RNAcentral describes it as "bacterial SSU rRNA". It matches the Rfam family "Bacterial small subunit ribosomal RNA", at positions 355 to 796 of the family's 1533-position model. The record is from RNAcentral.